UACGGAGGGUGCAAGCGUUAUCCGGAUUCACUGGGUUUAAAGGGUGCGUAGGCGGAAAGGUAAGUCCGUGGUGAAAUCCUGCAGCUUAACUGCAGAACUGCCGUGGAUACUAUCUAUCUUGAAUAUCGUGGAGGUUAGCAGAAUAUGUCAUGUAGCGGUGAAAUGCUUAGAUAUGACAUAGAAUACCCAUUGCGAAGGCAGCUAACUACGCGAUCAUUGACGCUGAUGCACGAAAGCGUGGGGAGCGAACCGG
This 253-nucleotide ribosomal RNA is filed under the name uncultured bacterium. RNAcentral's name for it is "partial 16S ribosomal RNA". It matches the Rfam family "Bacterial small subunit ribosomal RNA", at positions 524 to 776 of the family's 1533-position model. The record is from RNAcentral.